Molecule: ribosomal RNA, 389 nt
Filed under: uncultured bacterium
Lineage: Bacteria
Description: bacterial SSU rRNA
Rfam family: Bacterial small subunit ribosomal RNA
Source: RNAcentral
CAAAUGAUGGUGCCUUCAGGACUCUAAGACAGGUGCUGCAUGGCUGUCGUCACCUCCUGUCGUGAGAUGUUGGGUUAAGUCCCGUAACGAGCGCAACCCUUGUCCUUAUUUGCCAGCGCGUAAUGGCGGGAACUCUAAGGAGACUGCCGGUGACAAACCAGAAGAAGGUGGGGAUGACGUCUAUUCAUCAUGGCCCUUACGACCUGGGCUACACACGUGCUACAAUGGGCGGUACAAAGGGUUGCCAAACCGCGAGGUGGAGCUAAUCCCAUAAAACCGUUCGUAGUCCGGAUUGGAGUCUGCAACUCGACUCCAUGAAGUCGGAAUCGCUAGUAAUCGCAAAUCAAAACGUUGCGGUGAAUACGUUCCCGGGUCUUGUACACACCGAG